AGUGAACGCUGGCGGUAGGCCUAACACAUGCAAGUCGAACGGCAGCACAGUAAGUGCUUGCUCUUACGGGUGGCGAGUGGCGGACGGGUGAGGGAUACAUCGGAAUUUACUUUUUCGUGGGUGAUAACGUAGGGAAACUUACGCUAAUACCGCAGACGACCUACGUGUGAAAGCAGCGGAUCUUCGGAUCUUGCGCGAUCGAAUGAGGCGAUGUCGGAUUAGCUAGUUGGCGGGGUAAAGGCCCACCAAGGCGACGAUCCGUAGCUGGUCUGAGAGGAUGAUCAGCCACACUGGAACUGAGACACGGUCCAGACUCCUACGGGAGGCAGCAGUGGGGAAUAUUGGACAAUGGGCGCAAGCCUGAUCCAGCCAUGCCGCGUGGGUGAAGAAGGCCUUCGGGUUGUAAAGCCCUUUUGUUGGGAAAGAAAAGCAGCAGGUUAAUACCCCGCUGUUCUGACGGUACCAACAGAAUAAGCACCGGCUAACUUCGUG
This 492-nucleotide ribosomal RNA is filed under the name uncultured bacterium. RNAcentral's name for it is "partial 16S ribosomal RNA". It matches the Rfam family "Bacterial small subunit ribosomal RNA", at positions 29 to 507 of the family's 1533-position model. The record is from RNAcentral.